GAUGAACGCUGGCGGCGUGCCUAAUACAUGCAAGUCGAGCGAACAGAUAAGGAGCUUGCUCCUUUGACGUUAGCGGCGGACGGGUGAGUAACACGUGGGUAACCUACCUAUAAGACUGGAAUAACUCCGGGAAACCGGGGCUAAUGCCGGAUAACAUUUAGAACCGCAUGGUUCUAAAGUGAAAGAUGGUUUUGCUAUCACUUAUAGAUGGACCCGCGCCGUAUUAGCUAGUUGGUAAGGUAACGGCUUACCAAGGCAACGAUACGUAGCCGACCUGAGAGGGUGAUCGGCCACACUGUAACUGAGACACGGUCCAGACUCCUACGGGAGGCAGCAGUAGGGAAUCUUCCGCAAUGGGCGAAAGCCUGACGGAGCAACGCCGCGUGAGUGAUGAAGGUCUUCGGAUCGUAAAACUCUGUUAUUAGGGAAGAACAAAUGUGUAAGUAACUGUGCACGUCUUGACGGUACCUAAUCAGAAAGCCACGGCUAACUACGUG
This 497-nucleotide ribosomal RNA is filed under the name uncultured bacterium. RNAcentral's name for it is "partial 16S ribosomal RNA". It matches the Rfam family "Bacterial small subunit ribosomal RNA", at positions 28 to 507 of the family's 1533-position model. The record is from RNAcentral.